This 464-nucleotide ribosomal RNA is filed under the name uncultured bacterium. Its description in RNAcentral is "partial 16S ribosomal RNA". It matches the Rfam family "Bacterial small subunit ribosomal RNA", at positions 338 to 795 of the family's 1533-position model. The record is from RNAcentral.
CCUACGGGAGGCAGCAGUGGGGAAUCUUCCGCAAUGGGCGAAAGCCUGACGGAGCAACGCCGCGUGAUCGAAUGAAGGCCUUCGGGUUGUAAAGAUCUGUUGUCAGGGACGAAUAUGCAACGCGAAUACCUUUUUGUAUGACCGUUCUUGUUUAGAAUGCUCUGGCUCACUACGUGCCAGCAGCCGCGGUAAUACGUAGGGAGCAAGCGUUGUCCGGAAUUACUGGGCGUAAAGGGCGCGUAGGUGGGCGCUUAAGUCAGGUGUGAAAGCUCCGGGCUCAACCUGUAGACUGCAAUUGAUACUGGGAGUCUUGAGGGCAGGUGAGGAAAGUGGAAUUCCUAGUGUAGCGGUGAAAUGCGUAGAUAUUAGGAAGAACACCAGUGGCGAAGGCGACUUUCUAGACUGUACCUGACGCUGAGGCGCGAAAGCGUGGGUAGCGAACGGGAUUAGAUACCCCGGUAGUC